This 260-nucleotide long non-coding RNA is filed under the name Brassica rapa (field mustard). Its description in RNAcentral is "long non-coding RNA (BRAP_LNC004386)". Lineage: Eukaryota; Viridiplantae; Streptophyta; Magnoliopsida; Brassicales; Brassicaceae. The record is from RNAcentral.
CACGAAAUGUUUAUUUUUUUUUUGUUUUUUUCUUGGUUUUGAGGUGUUUAAUAUACAGUUGUUUAUGUAAAUGGUUUUCUUUCGAUGCAUAUUAUAGAUAAUUUUAAACUUUAUUAUGACGGUAAAUUAUUAUUCAUCUAAACGGAAAAAAUAAGAUUAAAAUAUUGUAUCUCAACAUCGGUGGUAGCUGUUGAUUGGUGGUAGCUAGGCAUGGGCGUUCGGUGGUCUGUUCGGUUUCGGUCCGGGUGAUUCGGAUUUUU